UCCCUGCCUGGGUCACCAAUUGU
Molecule: microRNA, 23 nt
Organism: Caenorhabditis elegans
Lineage: Eukaryota; Metazoa; Nematoda; Chromadorea; Rhabditida; Rhabditidae
Source: Ensembl